UACGUAGGAGGCAAGCGUUGUCCGGAAUUACUGGGCGUAAAUCGCGUGUAGGUGGUGGGACAAGUCUGCUGUGAAAGCGCCUGGCUUAACCGGGCGAGGUCGGCGGAAACUGUCCGACUCGAGGACGGUAGAGGGGGGUGGAAUUCCCGGUGUAGUGGUGAAAUGCGUAGAGAUCGGGAGGAACACCUGUGGCGAAGGCGGCCCCCUGGGCCGGCCCUGACACUGAGACGCGAAGGCGUGGGGAGCGAACGGG
Molecule: ribosomal RNA, 253 nt
Filed under: uncultured bacterium
Lineage: Bacteria
Description: partial 16S ribosomal RNA
Rfam family: Bacterial small subunit ribosomal RNA
Source: RNAcentral